CUUGGGAGUGGGGAUCCCUCAGUCUGGAUUGCAGGAGGGCGCAGGCCAGGCCGAGGGACCCCACUGGUGCACA
Non-coding RNA from Myotis lucifugus (little brown bat), 73 nucleotides. Lineage: Eukaryota; Metazoa; Chordata; Mammalia; Chiroptera; Vespertilionidae. The record is from Rfam.